RNAcentral lists this transfer RNA (86 nucleotides) under Chitinophagaceae bacterium. RNAcentral's name for it is "tRNA-Leu". It matches the Rfam family "tRNA". Rfam says of the family: Transfer RNA (tRNA) molecules are approximately 80 nucleotides in length. Their secondary structure includes four short double-helical elements and three loops (D, anti-codon, and T loops). Further hydrogen bonds mediate the characteristic L-shaped molecular structure. tRNAs have two regions of fundamental functional importance: the anti-codon, which is responsible for specific mRNA codon recognition, and the 3' end, to which the tRNAs corresponding amino acid is attached (by aminoacyl-tRNA synthetases). tRNAs cope with the degeneracy of the genetic code in two manners: having more than one tRNA (with a specific anti-codon) for a particular amino acid; and 'wobble' base-pairing, i.e. permitting non-standard base-pairing at the 3rd anti-codon position. Lineage: Bacteria; Pseudomonadati; Bacteroidota; Chitinophagia; Chitinophagales; Chitinophagaceae. The record is from RNAcentral.
GCCCUGGUGGUGGAAUUGGUAGACACGCAGGACUUAAAAUCCUGUGGACAGCAAUGUCCGUAACGGUUCAAGUCCGUUCCGGGGCA